GAAUAAGGACCGGCCAACUCCGUGCCAGCAGCCGCGGUAAUACGGAGGGUCCAAGCGUUAUCCGGAUUCACUGGGUUUAAAGGGUGCGCAGGCGGCUAAGUAAGUCAGUGGUGAAAGCCUUCGGCUCAACCGGAGAAUUGCCAUUGAAACUACUUGGCUUGAGUGCAGCAGAGGUAGGCGGAAUGUAGCAUGUAGCGGUGAAAUGCAUAGAUAUGCUACAGAACACCGAUAGCGAAAGCAGCUUACCACACUGUAACUGACGCUGAGGCACGAAAGCAUGGGUAGCAAACAGGAUUAGAUACCCUGGUAGUCCAUGCCGUAAACUUUGAACACUCGGAGUUUGCCACCUAGUGGUAAGCUCCCUAGCGAAAGCGUUAAGUGUUCCACCUGGGGAGUACGGCCGCAAGGCUAAAACUCAAAGGAAUUGACGGGGGCCCGCACAAGCGGAGGAGCAUGUGGUUUAAUUCGAUGAUACGCGAGGAACCUUACCCGGGCUAUAAUGCCUGUGACAGCUCUGGAAACAGAGUUUUCCUUCGGGACACAGUGCAAGGUGCUGCAUGGCUGUCGUCAGCUCGUGCCGUGAGGUGUUGGGUUAAGUCCCUUAACGAGCGCAACCCCUAUCUUUAGUUGCCAGCACUUUCAGGUGGGCACUCUAAAGAAACUGCCUACGUAAGUAGAGAGGAAGGAGGGGAUGACGUCAAGUCAUCAUGGCCCUUAUGCCCGGGGCUACACACAUGCUACAAUGGUGGGUACAAAGGGAAGCCACUUGGCAACAAGGAGCUAAUCCCAAAAGCCCAUCACAGUUCGGAUUGGAGUCUGCAACUCGACUCCAUGAAGCUGGAUUCGCUAGUAAUCGUGGAUCAGCAACGUCACGGUGAAUACGUUCCCGGGCCUUGUACACACCGCCCGUCAAGCCAUGGAAGUCGGGAGUACCUGAAGCCAGUAACCGUAAAGGAGCUGGUGAGGGUAAGCCUGGCAACUGGGGCUAAGUCGUAACAAGGUAGCCGUACCGGAAGGUGCGGCUGGAACACCUCCUUUUUAGAG
RNAcentral lists this ribosomal RNA (1044 nucleotides) under uncultured bacterium. RNAcentral's name for it is "bacterial SSU rRNA". It matches the Rfam family "Bacterial small subunit ribosomal RNA", at positions 484 to 1533 of the family's 1533-position model. The record is from RNAcentral.